GACGAACGCUGGCGGCGUGCCUAAUACAUGCAAGUAGAACGCUGAAGGAGGAGCUUGCUUCUCUGGAUGAGUUGCGAACGGGUGCGUAACGCGUAGGUAACCUGCCUGGUAGCGGGGGAUAACUAUUGGAAACGAUAGCUAAUACCGCAUAAGAGUAGAUGUUGCAUGACAUUUGCUUAAAAGGUGCAAUUGCAUCACUACCAGAUGGACCUGCGUUGUAUUAGCUAGUUGGUGGGGUAACGGCUCACCAAGGCGACGAUCCAUAGCCGGCCUGAGAGGGUGAUCGGCCACACUGGAACUGAGACACGGCCCAGACUCCUACGGGAGGCAGCAGUAGGGAAUCUUCGGCAAUGGACGGAAGUCUGACCCAGCAACGCCGCGUGAGUGAAGAAGGUUUUCGGGUCGUAAAGCUCUGUUGUAAGAGAAGAACGGGUGUGGGAGUGGAAAGUGCACACUGUAACGGUAUCUUACAAGAAAGGGACGGCUAACUACGC
This 494-nucleotide ribosomal RNA is filed under the name uncultured bacterium. RNAcentral's name for it is "partial 16S ribosomal RNA". It matches the Rfam family "Bacterial small subunit ribosomal RNA", at positions 28 to 506 of the family's 1533-position model. The record is from RNAcentral.